UACGAAGGGGGCUAGCGUUGCUCGGAAUGACUGGGCGUAAAGGGCGCGUAGGCGGAUGGCACAGUCAGAUGUGAAAUUCCCGGGCUUAACCUGGGGGCUGCAUUUGAUACGUGUGAUCUAGAGUGAGGAAGAGGGUCGUGGAAUUCCCAGUGUAGAGGUGAAAUUCGUAGAUAUUGGGAAGAACACCGGUGGCGAAGGCGGCGACCUGGUCCUUGACUGACGCUAAGACGCGAAAGCGUGGGGAGCAAACAGG
RNAcentral lists this ribosomal RNA (253 nucleotides) under uncultured bacterium. Its description in RNAcentral is "partial 16S ribosomal RNA". It matches the Rfam family "Bacterial small subunit ribosomal RNA", at positions 524 to 776 of the family's 1533-position model. The record is from RNAcentral.